GCGUCCCGCGGUGUCCGGUGGUGUCUUUCCCGAGCGGAGGGCUCGCACUGCGGGGAUCCCGGCGAGCGGGAGCGGGUGAGUCCUGGGGAUCCUCCCCGCCAGCGCCGUGCGACGAGGCUUUGGGACAGCGCAAGGCCCAAAGAGGCAAUAUGGAGAAUGUCAUUGCUGCCGAAAAUCUGGCAAAAGUCUCACAGAACAGCCCCGCUUUUUCAAAGCCUGGUAUUCUUCUGUCCCAUCACAAGGAAUAACAGUGAGUGAGCUGCAUUCCUCUGCACGUGUGUAUGUGCGUGCUUAUGGACGAGUUGAUGUUGUGCCACGGUUGUUGUGUGAAAGCUCCGUUGAAGGCAACGGCCGCGUGGAACGUGUGCAGGCUGGCGGAUGCGGUCCCUCAGAAAGCGGUUGGAUCCCUGAUGAGCCUGUAGAGGCCCCUCAAGGCCCCACAAAGAUUUGGAAAUGCCUCAGCUUCUUUUUGUGACCAAUCUCAGCAGCGUCACCCUUUCUGGUUGACACCUUCCAAUCUCCUGUGCUGUUGGAGACUGAAGCUGGAGCUGCUCAAAGGAUCAGUCCUUUGAAGUGUUAAUGUCCCUCUUCUCGGUGCUGCGUGGGAAGCGAAUUCCCCUCCUUCAGCUGCCUGUGCCCAGCCUGGAUGCGUGGUCUCACCUGGACCAUCUCAAGGUUGCGUUGCUGUCACCUUCACUGUGUGACUGGGAAGAGUGUGUCUGUAUCAGGGGACACUUUGGCCUCUUCUGCCCAGGCCCAGGGAAGCUGGAGGAACCCUGUGGAAACCAGCGUUGUCUGCAUUAAAGCUUUUGAUCGGUUGCCAAGUGCUGUACG
Molecule: long non-coding RNA, 834 nt
Organism: Cuculus canorus (common cuckoo)
Lineage: Eukaryota; Metazoa; Chordata; Aves; Cuculiformes; Cuculidae
Exons: 5
Source: RefSeq, a predicted model, not a curated record